Molecule: non-coding RNA, 1902 nt
Organism: Meleagris gallopavo (turkey)
Lineage: Eukaryota; Metazoa; Chordata; Aves; Galliformes; Phasianidae
Source: RefSeq, a predicted model, not a curated record
GAUUCAUCUGAAUGAAAAUCUGAACAUUUUGGAUUUCUUCCAUAACCGAAUAAACCACUGCUAAGCUCCUCAGAAGAUUCAUUUCCAGAGGGAUAUUAGUCUGGUCGACCAGCUGCCAAAAAGCCAUGCAGAUGGGAUUUUCAAAUAAAUACCAGAUGAAAGGAAAAGGCAAUAUAAGAAUUGGAAACUCAUGGCAAAAAUAAAGGGUCCAAACCUCAGAGCUGUAUUUGUGUCUUCUGUAGGAUCCUAGGGAUCAGAUCGUCAGCCUGAGAUAAACCCCUUUCUGCUGCUAUUGUGUGUGGGGCACACAACAUCAAACUGAAGGAAAAAAAUGUCAUUGUUUUUUCCUCUGAACAAAAUUCCAUUCCCACCUGGUAUCAAUCCAGAACUCCUACCUUCUGUCAUAUUCUGGAAAUGUUUUGGCUCCAGAGCAGCAUGAAUGAACACCCUUCUGUCCUCCUUCCUACUGUCUCCAUCUUACUUUACCUCUGCUGGGAGAAUGAGCCCUUCAGUACUGUGUAAUAGACACUCAAAACUCAGUAAUGAAAGACAAAUCUUUGUCCCACUAAGAGCAAGGUGCUUUGGCUAAACACAGAUUUCUUGUGUAAAACUGUAUUUCUUCAUUUAAAUGCUUAUGAUCACAUACCAUGUUCUCACACUGCUAUGAGGUGGGCUUUCACAAAGAACAUCUAGGGGAGCACCAAAAAUAAGUGAAAAAUAAAAAGCAGUCUGCAAAAGGAUGAGCUCUUUGAAUUUCUUCCAAGUCCAUGAAUGCUGCAUGAUAAGCCCAUAAGGGGGUUUUCGGACAUUGUGUGGCCUGAUCUUUAGUGGGAAAUAACAUCUGUUUGGAGACAUCUCCAAACUCUCACUACAAGAGACAUCCACUCUGAUUAAUGCGAUUAUGUGUAUGUGUCAAUAAAGUAGUAACCACUACAUUAAAGCCUUUGUAAAAAUCCUGAGAUAAUUUAAUUGAAAUAAUUUAUGAUUUAAAAGAAUAAUAAUUUUCUGUUAAUGAUCCCAUGGACAGCUGGAAGGUCUCCUUGCAAAUUCUAAUCCCAAGAUAACUGGAUUCUUCUCUGGAUUCCUAGAAGAAAAGAAGGAUAUAUUUCUAUGGCAAGUCAACUUUUCAGUGAAAAUCUCAGCUUCAUGAUGCUCGGAGAAUUGGAAUGUGAAAGGAAGUAUUGAAGGGAGAAAUUAGUUAUCAGAAUCUGCAUGCAAUGCUCAGAAAGGUGUAAAACAACUCAUAAUGGGAAAAGCUCUGACACUUACUUGGUGUUUAUUUAUACACUUAAUUCUGUCAUACCAGAUCUUUCCCAAAUAUGUGUACUUUGCUGUGGAUACAGAUUUUACACGGAUACUUCUUGUGUCCCCUCACAAAGCACAGGUAUGUUAAAUAUCCUACAAUUGGAGCCAGCACUACGGUCUAAGUGCCUGCGUUGUGUCACAGAAGAAACUGUACUGUUUAAAUGAAUUAUUAGCGCCGUCUCCUACUGACUCAAGCACAUGCUGUUAUACAGUCAGUGGUAACACACAAAACAUAUUCUGUAUUUGCCUUCCUCAAAAACAAAUACUUAAUGUGUUUCUGCUAAUGAUGAGGAGUGGCAACCCAGCCCUAAGUCGCUGGUGGGGCUCUCAUUUACUUUUUUGAUAGAGUCACAUGUAACUAAAUAGAGUCACAAUAACAGAGACUUUGGAAGUAAAAUCUGAGCCUCAUUCUUCUGCUGCCUGGACCAUCUUUUCCAUGCAGCAGCCUCACCAGUGAUGAAGACAAACUUUCUCAAGUGGUUCUCUCUGCAAGCCCACUUGUGCUGCGAAUGGAAAGCUUUUCUGCUUUUCAAGAGGAAACGGAUCUUUACUUUUAAGCACUUCCCCCCUUUGCUACCCCACCCCACCCCACCCCCA